GACGAACGCUGGCGGCGUGCUUAACACAUGCAAGUCGAACGAAGUGGCGAACGGGUGAGUAACGCGUAAUCAACCUGCCCUUCAGAGGGGGACAACAGUUGGAAACGACUGCUAAUACCGCAUACUGAAGGAGGGGAUUGCGUCUGAUUAGCGUGUUGGAGGGGUAACGGCCAACCAAGGCGAUGAGCAGUAGCCGUGCUGAGAGGAUGGCCGGCCCAAAUGGGCCUGUGAAACGGCCCAGGCUCCUGCGGGAGGCAGCAGUGGGGAAUCUGCCGAAAGGGAGGAAAGUAUGACGGAGCAACGCCGCGUGAGGUGUGACGGCCCUCCGGGUGUAAAGCUCUGUUAGUCGGGACACGGUACCGGAAUAGAAAGCCACGGCUAACUACGUGCCAGCAGCCGCGGUAAUAC
Molecule: ribosomal RNA, 408 nt
Filed under: uncultured bacterium
Lineage: Bacteria
Description: partial 16S ribosomal RNA
Rfam family: Bacterial small subunit ribosomal RNA
Source: RNAcentral